UACGUAGGGGGCUAGCGUUGUCCGGAAUCAUUGGGCGUAAAGAGCGUGUAGGCGGCCCGGUAAGUCCGCUGUGAAAGUCGGGGGCUCAACCCUCGAAUGCCGGUGGAUACUGUCGGGCUAGAGUGCGGAAGAGGCGAGUGGAAUUCCUGGUGUAGCGGUGAAAUGCGCAGAUAUCGGGAGGAACACCAAUUGCGAAGGCAGCUCGCUGGGACGUUACUGACGCUGAGACGCGAAAGCGUGGGGAGCAAACAGG
Molecule: ribosomal RNA, 253 nt
Filed under: uncultured bacterium
Lineage: Bacteria
Description: partial 16S ribosomal RNA
Rfam family: Bacterial small subunit ribosomal RNA
Source: RNAcentral